Molecule: transfer RNA, 130 nt
Filed under: Mycosarcoma maydis (corn smut)
Lineage: Eukaryota; Fungi; Basidiomycota; Ustilaginomycetes; Ustilaginales
Description: tRNA-Ser for anticodon AGA
Rfam family: tRNA
About the family: Transfer RNA (tRNA) molecules are approximately 80 nucleotides in length.
Source: RNAcentral
GGCACUAUGGCGGAGUGGUUAUCGCGUGGCACUAGAAUCGGUUGCAUUCUAGAGUAAGCAUCCUACUCACCAAACAAUACAGUGUAUGCCAUUCCCUCUGGGAGCGCAGGUUCAAAUCCUGCUGGUGUCG